This is a long non-coding RNA of Carassius gibelio (silver crucian carp), 2355 nucleotides long. RefSeq lists it as uncharacterized. NCBI's taxonomy places the organism in Eukaryota, Metazoa, Chordata, Actinopteri, Cypriniformes, Cyprinidae. The record is from RefSeq and is a predicted model, not a curated record. The transcript has 2 exons.
GAAAGCUCCUUCCAAACCCACGGGACUUUCUGUUUUCUGAGGAGCACAAAAAGAGACAUUUAGCAGAAUGUCCAAGCGGCUCUUUUACAUGUAAUCAAAUAAUAAAGUGACCAGUGACUGUCCAGCUACAAACAUGACUUAAAAUCACCAUAGAAAGCAUGAAUGAGAUUUCAGUGUUACAGCGAGGUAGAGUUUUCAUUAUCAGUGAACAACCUGAUAAACCAGAUAAAAGAUAAAACAGCAAAUUGAGUGUUUUUGUUUAAAUCUGAAACAUGUUUGCAUGAAUAUAAUGUUAUUAUUAUGAACACUUGAAGUGACCUUCUCAUUAUCUAUUGGAUAGCCUGACUACGUCAGACUUCCUACUUCUGCUCAAUUUCAUUUCACUUCUGUACUCAGUAGGUGUUUCUCAAUGUCAAGGAAGGAUCCUCGGAAGCCAGUAUUUCGAGGAUGCUACGUCAUUGACAUCCAUCGAAGGACUGUUCCAAUGUCAAGGAUCCUCGGAAUUUCAACCAAAGACUGAGUCCUUCGUUCGAAGAAUAUCCCAUACACAGGAAAGGAUGCAUAUGCGUAUCCUUCGCGCUCUUCGCGUUCUCAAAUCACCCACAAUCCUAUGCGCGCAGCUUUGCUAUCUAACCUUAGUUCAAAAAUUAAAAAAUGUCGAACAUUAACGUAGUCGGAGCGUAAACGUUUUUUAUUUACGUUACCAAACAUUUGUUAUAACUGUAGUAAAUAUAAGUAAAGUUUGACGUUUAAAUGCCAGUACAAAUUAUUGAUAUUGUAAAUUAUACAAAUACAAAUGGUUAACUGAACCGGACCUGUCAUUUAACAAUUGGUUGCGUCAACGGCAUUUAUUUUAUAAAUAACUAGUUAAGUUGUCCGAAGUAAUUUAAUGAUACCAUUCACAGCGUUAUUCAAACGGACCUUUUCACUGACGUAAUGACGCAAUGACGUGCACUUGCUAGCCUGUUCCAUUUACGUGUUCUCCGUAUGCUAAAAGGAGUCUCACCUAGCCUCUGAAGGAAGUGACUUGGAAGGAUCAGUCCUACCAAGGAAGUAUCCUUGACAUUGAGAAACUCCUAGUCUGAUACAGUGUCAGAGCUUUCUGUUUGCCACCGGUCUGAAAACAGCCGGGCCAAUCAACGAGCAGAGGGCGGGCUGAGAGCCGUGACGUAGAUGCUAAGCACCGAGUUUUAAAUUGUAGGUUAGAGAAAUCGAAAACCGAAACGACCGCGGAAAUGGGAAACGAGACACAGGAUGCAAUUCGCUCUGUUAUGGAGAACAUUCAACUCUUUUUCAAACUGAAGCCAGAACAAGAAGAGUGUUUAACAACAGGUUUAAAGUGGAAGUUCAAUCAUAGAUUUGAGUUCGAUGCAUGAUGUCUGUGCUUCCAUGCGGCUGUACAGGCGCAUAACAUAACUAAACGUAUCUGAUUGGCUUACGGCUAACCAAUGAUUUUAAACUUCAGACAAGCGCCCCCUAGCGAGAGAGAAAACACUUCUCUAUUAUGCCAUUCCAGACUCUGUCUACGAAGCAAAGUGAAGUAGCAGAGUCUGGUAUUACCAGGCUAUAUAUUGGAGCCCUUUGUGAAGGAAAUCAGUUGUUCACUUCUGUUUGGAAAAUGUUGUCCCCUUCCCAAAAUGGAUUUGCUCACAACAGACUAAUUUGUAAAUAAUCUUGAAAACCCCUUCUACAAAUGAUCAAUAAUUAAGCAAGACUGACAUUUUUUAUAUAUAUUUUUUUAACUUAAUCAGUAUAACAGCAGUAAAGAAGAGAGUUUGGGGUUAAAUUUGUGUCUGAGCUCAUGUUUUGGUUCUGUAACUGUGGGAGGUUUUUGUACGAGUAAACUCGUGAAAUGUAUCACUGUGGUAUUCGGCCAGGGAACAAAACUCAAUGUGAUCGACGUCCCCCUCUCUCCUCCUGUUCUGACUCUCUUGUCUCCGUCCGCUGAGGCUCUGAAGGAGAGUAAAGCUACACUCGUGUGUCUGGCUGAGGAUAUUUCAGUAGCUCUGGUGCACGUCACCUGGUCAGUCAACGGUCGCUCCGUCACAGAUGGAGUCUGGAGCAGUCCUACUGAGAAACAGCAGAACAAAACCUUCAAAAUGAGCAGCUAUCUGACCAUCGAGUCGUCUGACUGGACGGACAAUGCAGAUUUCUCCUGUGAGGUGUCAGCGGGGUCCAAAUUCACUAAGAAAAGUAUCUCAGCUUCACAGUGCUGAAAAAGUGUCUGAAUCUAAAUGUCAGCUGUUAUGCCUUUAUUUCUUUUCAUGUUUGUGAACGGGUGUAUCUGACAUUGACUAUGACUAUGUGCUUCAGUUUUGGGUUUUGAUUCUGCAAAAAUAAAAAUCUUUGGCAUGA